This 229-nucleotide ribosomal RNA is filed under the name uncultured bacterium. RNAcentral describes it as "partial 16S ribosomal RNA". It matches the Rfam family "Bacterial small subunit ribosomal RNA", at positions 524 to 747 of the family's 1533-position model. The record is from RNAcentral.
UACGUAGGGUGCGAGCGUUAAUCGGAAUUACUGGGCGUAAAGUGUGCGCAGGCGGCAAAGCAAGUCGAGUGUGAAAGCCCCGGGCUUAACUUGGGAAUUGCGCUCGAAACUACUUUGCUGGAGUGUGGCAGAGGAAGGUGGAAUUCCGACGUGUAGCGGUGAAAUGACGUAGAGAUGCGGAGGAACACCGAUGGAGCAAGGCAGCCCCUGGGCUAACCCACUGGACGCU